CAGAGGGAGCAGCCGCCACCGUGGCCGGAGGGCUAGCGUCGGGCCGUUGCCUCGGGCGCCGCCUGCACGGAUGCAAGCCGAGGGCUGCGGCGUCGCCUCUGCCCGGGCUGUGGACCGCGCUGCCGCGUGCCUGAGGGCAUCGCCAUGCCUGGCACCGGCCGUUGGCCGCUGCGGCCGCCUCCAGGUGUAGCGCUAGGAGCAGCCGGGCCGAAGGAUGCUACCGCUCCGCUAGGAGGCUGGCCGAGGGAGCGCUGUCCAGGCCAUGGGUCGCCGACGAAGUUUGCCUUGGAUGGCAUUCAAACGACGCCCUGGAGAUCGUGAGACUUGCCGCGCCUGGGUGGGUGCUGGCUGCCGCCGUCUUCGCCGACCGAUGUGCCGUGAGCGGCCAUGGGGCGUGGAGACGCGUCGUGCGCCACCAUGGCGUGGGGGCCGUGGCCGGUAGCCGCCGGGAGCCACGGCUGCGUGUGUAGGCGAAGGAGCCGAACAUCGGAUGUUGGCUCGCCGUGUCAGCCUCUGGGGCCGAGGGGCGCCGUGCAGCACGCGCAGGCCGGAGGGAGCGUCACUGCGGAGGGCCGGCCGUCUCGCAGCGCCUUGGUGCCGCAUCCGCCGCCGUUCUUCCGCUGUGACCUAUUUCUCUAAUCGAGAGUGGAGUGCGUGAUAACGUGUUCGAGAUCGAUAGAACAAAUGAUUGAACUAUCUCUUUGCAUUAGAUGAAGUGCCAUACAUAGCACUGGAACAUGCGUUUACAAACGGGGUGUCGGUUCAGACAGAACCGACACAACGGGUGGAGAAGUAACCGCAAUGGUUAAUACAAGCAGGGAUUAAUCCCUUAAUUGCUAUGUUAAUUAAUCUUAACAGUUUAAUUAGGGACGAGAAUAGUCGUCUACUAGUUGAUGCCAACCAUAAUUUGAUGUAACGUUGACGCAUUCAUCUCAUGUAUUCAAGGCUGCGGGCUUAGACGCUGAAUUAUUAAUGGGAGAAUGGGUCAAAUAUUGAAUUCGGGAUGA
Triticum aestivum (bread wheat) is the source of this 1007-nucleotide long non-coding RNA. RefSeq lists it as uncharacterized. The transcript is spliced from 2 exons. The record is from RefSeq and is a predicted model, not a curated record. Lineage: Eukaryota; Viridiplantae; Streptophyta; Magnoliopsida; Poales; Poaceae.